This 406-nucleotide long non-coding RNA is filed under the name Volvox carteri. RNAcentral's name for it is "long non-coding RNA (VCAR_LNC002792)". Lineage: Eukaryota; Viridiplantae; Chlorophyta; Chlorophyceae; Chlamydomonadales; Volvocaceae. The record is from RNAcentral.
GCCUAUUACAUGUAAAAGGAAAAUGCCUUCACAGUCAUUACGAAACGCUGUUGCACUGCCGAUGCGACCGCUCACGCCACCCCCGACCUGCUGCACGAGUUUUACCAAGACCCACUGUCUUCUCUACCACCUUCUCCCCCUACCCGCGCUGCUGCGGCCCACACCACCAUUGCCGCAGCCGCAGUCGUUCCAUAGCCACUGUCUCGUUGCUGCAAUUCAAUCUGGCCCCACACCAGGACCCCAGGGCCACCUCAGCGCACCCGGAUAUAUUCCUGUGUAACGACCGAUUACUCUAGCCGUGUCUUACUGUUUAUGACACUAGUGAUCACCAACAGUUUCAGUCACGAGACCAUAUUGGGAAUUUCCGGCGGGGCGGGGUAGGAACUGCGGAGAUGAAACGUGUUCG